This 1360-nucleotide long non-coding RNA is filed under the name Homo sapiens (human). RNAcentral describes it as "non-protein coding lnc-ST8SIA4-6:1". The record is from RNAcentral. Lineage: Eukaryota; Metazoa; Chordata; Mammalia; Primates; Hominidae.
CCCAUCAUAAUCGGAGGCUUUGGCAACUGGCUAGUUCCCCUAAUAAUUGGUGCCCCCGACAUGGCGUUCCCCGUAUAAAUAACAUAAGCUUCUGACUCCUCCCUCCUUCCUUCUGCUCGCAUCUGCCAUAGUGGAAGCCGGUGCCGGAACAGGUUGGACAGUUUACCCUCCCUUAGCAGGAAAUUACUCCCACCCUGGAGCUUCCGUAGAUCUGACCAUUUUUUCCUUGCAUCUAGCAGGCAUCUCCUCUAUUCUAGGAGCUAUCAACUUCAUUACAACAAUUACAACAUUACAACAUUACAACUUUACAACUUCAUUACAACAAUUAUCAAUAUAAAACCCCCUGCCAUAACUCAAUACCAAACACCCCUUUUCGUCUGAUCCGUCUUAAUCACAGCAGUCCUGCUUCUCCUAUCCCUCCCACUCCUAGCUGCUGGCAUUACCAUGUUAUUAACAGACCGCAACCUCAAUACCACCUUCUUUGACCCGGCCGGAGGAGGAGACCCUAUCCUGUACCAACACCUAUUCUGAUUUUUUUGGCCACCCCGAAGUUUAUAUUCUUAUCCUACCAGGCUUUGGAAUAAUUUCCCACAUUGUAACUUACUACCCCGGAAAAAAGGAACCAUUCGGGUAUAUAGGCAUGGUCUGGGCUAUGAUAUCAAUUGGUUUCUUAGGAUUUAUUGUAUGAGCCCACCAUAUAUUUACAGUAGGAAUAGACGUAGACACACAAGCCUACUUCACCUCUGCUACCAUAAUUAUCACUAUUCCCACUGGCGUCAAAGUAUUUAGUUGGCUCGCUACACUCCACGGAAGCAAUACCAAAUGAUCUGCUGCAGUACUCUGAGCCCUAGGGUUCAUUUUUCUCUUCACUGUAGGUGGCCUAACCGGCAUUGUAUUAGCAAACUCAUCAUUAGAUAUCAUACUACACGAUACAUACUACGUCGUAGCUCACUUCCAUUACGUUCUAUCAAUAGGAGCUGUAUUCGCCAUCAUAGGGGGUUUUAUCCACUGAUUCCCUCUGUUCUCAGGUUACACUCUAGACCAAACCUAUGCCAAAAUUCAUUUUGCUAUCAUGUUCAUUGGUGUAAAUCUAACUUUCUUCCCACAACACUUUCUUGGCCUAUCUGGAAUACCCCAACGUUACUCGGACUACCCCGAUGCAUACACCACAUGAAAUAUUCUAUCAUCUGUAGGCUCAUUUAUUUCCCUAACAGCAGUAAUACUAAUAAUUUUUAUAAUUUGAGAAGGCUUCGCUUCAAAACGAAAAGCCCUAAUAAUCGAACAACCCUCCACCAACCUGGAGUGGCUAUAUGGAUGCCUUCCACCCUAUCAUACGUUCGAAGAACCCAUAUACAUAAAA